This 497-nucleotide ribosomal RNA is filed under the name uncultured bacterium. RNAcentral's name for it is "partial 16S ribosomal RNA". It matches the Rfam family "Bacterial small subunit ribosomal RNA", at positions 28 to 507 of the family's 1533-position model. The record is from RNAcentral.
GAUGAACGCUGGCGGCGUGCCUAAUACAUGCAAGUCGAGCGAACAGACGAGGAGCUUGCUCCUCUGACGUUAGCGGCGGACGGGCGAGUAACACGUGGAUAACCUACCUCUAUGACUGGGAUAACUUCGGGAAACCGCAGAUAAUACUGCAUCACAUGAUGUACCGCAGGGUUCAACAGAGAUUCACGGUCUUCGUGACACAUAUAGAUGGAUCCGCGCCGCAUUAGCUAGUUGGUAAGGUAACGGCCUACCAAGGCAACGAUGCGUAGCCGACCUGAGAGGGUGAUCGGCCACACUGGAACUGAGACACGGUCCAGACUCCUACGGGAGGCAGCAGUAGGGAAUCUUCCGCAAUGGGCGAAAGCCUGACCGAGCAACACCGCGUGAGUGAAGAAGGUCUUCGGAUCGUAAAGCUCUGUUAUUAGGGAAGAACAACUGUGUAUGUAACUAUGCACGUCUUGACGGUACCUAAUCAGAAAGCCCCGGCUAACUACGUG